CGACUCUCGGCAACGGAUAUCUCGGCUCUCGCAUCGAUGAAGAACGCAGCAAAAUGCGAUACUUGGUGUGAAUUGCAGAAUCCCGUGAACCAUCGAGUUUUUGAACGCAAGUUGCGCCCGAAGCCGUUAUGCUGAGGGCACGUCUGCCUGGGCGUCACG
RNAcentral lists this ribosomal RNA (159 nucleotides) under Syringa emodi. RNAcentral describes it as "5.8S ribosomal RNA". It matches the Rfam family "5.8S ribosomal RNA". Rfam says of the family: 5.8S ribosomal RNA (5.8S rRNA) is a component of the large subunit of the eukaryotic ribosome. It is transcribed by RNA polymerase I as part of the 45S precursor that also contains 18S and 28S rRNA. Functionally, it is thought that 5.8S rRNA may be involved in ribosome translocation. RNAcentral also lists the same sequence under 14 other names. Lineage: Eukaryota; Viridiplantae; Streptophyta; Magnoliopsida; Lamiales; Oleaceae. The record is from RNAcentral.